GUCAUAUGCUCGUCUCAAAGAUUAAGCCAUGCAUGUCUAAGUACAAGCUAAAAUAAAGUGAAACCGCGAAAGGCUCAUUAAAUCAGUUAUGGUUCCUUAGACCGUACCCACAUUUACUUGGAUAACUGUGGUAAUUCUAGAGCUAAUACAUGCAAACAGAGCUCCAACCGGAGACGGAAGGAGUGCUUUUAUUAGAUCAAAACCAAUCGGUAGACGGGUCCGUUACGGCGGUCUCCGUUUAUCGUACACCAAAUGGUGACUCUGAAUAACUUUUGCUGAUCGCACGGUCUCGCACCGGCGACGCAUCUUUCAAAUGUCUGCCUUAUCAACUGUCGAUGGUAGGAUCUGCGCCUACCAUGGUUGUAACGGGUAACGGGGAAUCAGGGUUCGAUUCCGGAGAGGGAGCCUGAGAAACGGCUACCACAUCCAAGGAAGGCAGCAGGCGCGCAAAUUACCCACUCCCAGCACGGGGAGGUAGUGACGAAAAAUAACGAUACGGGACUCAUCCGAGGCCCCGUAAUCGGAAUGAGUACACUUUAAAUCCUUUAACAAGGACCAAUUGGAGGGCAAGUCUGGUGCCAGCAGCCGCGGUAAUUCCAGCUCCAAUAGCGUAUAUUAAAGUUGUUGCGUUUAAAAAGCUCGUAGUUGAAUCUGUGUGUCGCACUGUCGGUUCACCGCCCGCGGUGUCAACUGGCACGUUGCGAGACGUCCUGCCGGUGGACUGUAGGUAUAUCAUUUCGGUGGUAUGCCAAGGUCCGGUUUUUUGUUAAAAAUCCUGUCCUGGUGCUCUUGAUUGAGUGUCUCGGCAGGCUGGCACGUUUACUUUGAACAAAUUAAAGUGCUCAAAGCAGGCGAAAAUUAUGCUUAAAUAGUGUGUGCAUGGAAUAAUAUAAUAGGACCUCGGUUCUAUUUUGUUGGUUUUCGGAACAUUCCGAGGUAAUGAUUAAUAGGGACAGAUGGGGGCAUUCGUAUUGCGACGUAAGAGGUGAAAUUCUUGGAUCGUCGCAAGACGGACUAAAGCGAAAGCAUUUGCCAAAGAUGUUUUCAUUAAUCAAGAACGAAAGUCAGAGGCUCGAAGGCGAUCAGAUACCGCCCUAGUUCUGACCAUAAACGAUGCCAGCUAGCGAUCCGUCGACGUUCCUCCGAUGACUCGACGGGCAGCUUCCGGGAAACCAAAGCUUUUGGGUUCCGGGGGAAGUAUGGUUGCAAAGCUGAAACUUAAAGGAAUUGACGGAAGGGCACCACCAGGAGUGGAGCCUGCGGCUUAAUUUGACUCAACACUGGAAACCUCACCAGGCCCAGACACCGAAAGGAUUGACAGAUUGAGAGCUCUUUCUUGAUACGGUGGGUGGUGGUGCAUGGCCGUUCUUAGUUGGUGGAUUGAUUUGUCUGCUUAAUUGCGAUAACGAACGAGACUCUAGCCUAUUAAAUAGACGUUACUUACCGGUAUCUCGAAGGCUCGUGGCUACCGCUUCAUUCGUCACGGGCAUUUUUCAUACAACGUACAACUUGUUGUGCCUGUAUGAUGUGUUCUGUGUGCGUUAUGUUCGGUGGUUCAUGGUUUUUACUACCGGCGUACAUAUGAAUCUUCUUAGAGGGACAGGCGACUUCUAGUCGCACGAGAUUGAGCAAUAACAGGUCUGUGAUGCCCUUAGAUGUUCUGGGCCGCACGCGCGCUACAAUGAAGGAAUCAGCGUGUCUUCCCUGGCCGAGAGGUCCGGGUAACCCGCUGAACCUCCUUCGUGCUUGGGAUUGGGGCUUGCAAUUGUUCCCCAUGAACGAGGAAUUCCCAGUAAGCGCGAGUCAUAAGCUCGCGUUGAUUACGUCCCUGCCCUUUGUACACACCGCCCGUCGCUACUACCGAUUGAAUUAUUUAGUGAGGUCUUCAGACUGGCACCCGGUGACGUUUCUAACUUCACCGAUGUCGCUGGAAAGAUGACCAAACUUGAUUAUUUAG
This 1957-nucleotide ribosomal RNA is filed under the name Loricera foveata. RNAcentral describes it as "SSU rRNA". It matches the Rfam family "Eukaryotic small subunit ribosomal RNA". The record is from RNAcentral. Lineage: Eukaryota; Metazoa; Arthropoda; Insecta; Coleoptera; Carabidae.